GCGGGGAUCGUCAGAGUUCCUCCUCAGUGGCUCUGAGGGAACUAAUUCUCCACAGGUGUUUUAAAACCAAGCAGGAACCAGAUCUAUUUGUGAUGAAAAACUGUCCCGUCUUACUGGAUCUGGAGGGGGAAGGUGAGUUGCUCUGUCGGCCAUAUUGUCUUUCCCAUUCAUCUCUCUCUUUUUCACGUCGCUCACGCUCCCUAAACACAAAACUUUUAGGUCAGAGAGCUGCAAGACACAUGCACGCACACACAGUUACACACCAGAGUGUGCACAUAUGCACACUAGUGAGUACACAUCAUCACACACACAUACUUCAUACGGAUCUUGCGUGCCAUGGCUCGCAGCUCUCCCUCACGCUCCUGUAAAAUUAACAAGCAAUGAGGGGAAAUGACGGGGAAGGGUUGGUUUCAGCAUAGAUUCUCGCACACACACACACACACACACACACACACACACACACACACACACACACACACACACACACACACACACACACACACACACACA
This is a non-coding RNA of Nothobranchius furzeri (turquoise killifish), 510 nucleotides long. The record is from RefSeq and is a predicted model, not a curated record. Lineage: Eukaryota; Metazoa; Chordata; Actinopteri; Cyprinodontiformes; Nothobranchiidae.